CAGAACAGAGACAGCACAGACAGAAGCAGUGCAAGCUUCCCUCAUGCUUUCCCCCAUGUGGUUCAGUUCUGAACUAGAGUGAUCAAUGAGG
Molecule: small RNA, 91 nt
Filed under: Gopherus agassizii (Agassiz's desert tortoise)
Lineage: Eukaryota; Metazoa; Chordata; Testudines; Testudinidae
Description: TUC338 (ENSGAGG00000024458.1)
Source: RNAcentral